This 253-nucleotide ribosomal RNA is filed under the name uncultured bacterium. RNAcentral's name for it is "partial 16S ribosomal RNA". It matches the Rfam family "Bacterial small subunit ribosomal RNA", at positions 524 to 776 of the family's 1533-position model. The record is from RNAcentral.
UACAGAGGGGGCAAGCGUUGUUCGGAAUUACUGGGCGUAAAGCGCGCGUAGGCGGCCUUCUAAGUCAGACGUGAAAUCCCCGGGCUCAACCCGGGAACUGCGUCUGAUACUGGAAGGCUUGAAUCCGGGAGAGGGAUGUGGAAUUCCAGGUGUAGCGGUGAAAUGCGUAGAUAUCUGGAGGAACACCGGUGGCGAAGGCGGCAUCCUGGACCGGUAUUGACGCUGAGGCGCGAAAGCCAGGGGAGCAAACGGG